UAAUUGGCGCUUCCGUAACCAA
RNAcentral lists this non-coding RNA (22 nucleotides) under Arabidopsis thaliana (thale cress). The record is from RNAcentral. Lineage: Eukaryota; Viridiplantae; Streptophyta; Magnoliopsida; Brassicales; Brassicaceae.